GAUGAACGCUGGCGGCGUGCCUAAUACAUGCAAGUCGAGCGAACGGACGAGAAGCUUGCUUUUCUGAUGUUAGCGGCGGACGGGUGAGUAACACGUGGAUAACCUACCUAUAAGACUGGGAUAACUUCGGGAAACCGGAGCUAAUACCGGAUAAUAUUUUGAACCGCAUGGUUCAAAAGUGAAAGACGGUCUUGCUGUCACUUAUAGAUGGAUCCGCGCUGCAUUAGCUAGUUGGUAAGGUAACGGCUUACCAAGGCAACGAUGCAUAGCCGACCUGAGAGGGUGAUCGGCCACACUGGAACUGAGACACGGUCCAGACUCCUACGGGAGGCAGCAGUAGGGAAUCUUCCGCAAUGGGCGAAAGCCUAACGGAGCAACGCCGCGUGAGUGAUGAAGGUCUUCGGAUCGUAAAACUCUGUUAUUAGGGAAGAACAUAUGUGUAAGUAACUGUGCACAUCUUGACGGUACCUAAUCAGAAAGCCACGGCUAACUACGUGC
This 498-nucleotide ribosomal RNA is filed under the name uncultured bacterium. Its description in RNAcentral is "partial 16S ribosomal RNA". It matches the Rfam family "Bacterial small subunit ribosomal RNA", at positions 28 to 508 of the family's 1533-position model. The record is from RNAcentral.